GGCCGAUUAGCUCAACCGGAUAGAGCAAUGUCCUUCUAAGGCAAAGGCUGUGGGUUCGAAUCCCACAUUGGCCC
Molecule: non-coding RNA, 74 nt
Organism: Liolophura sinensis
Lineage: Eukaryota; Metazoa; Mollusca; Polyplacophora; Chitonida; Chitonidae
Source: the annotation of a RefSeq genome assembly